CCGACUGCUAUCAGAGUGGGACUAAGCCAUGCGAGUCAACGCAGCAAUGCGUGGCAUACGGCUCAGUAACACGUAGUCAACAUGCCCAGGGGACGUGGAUAACCUCGGGAAACUGAGGAUAAACCGCGAUAGGCCAAGAUUUCUGGAAUGGAUCAUGGCUGAAAUCUACAUGGCCCCUGGAUUGGACUGCGGCCGAUCAGGCUGUUGGUGAGGUAAUGGCCCACCAAACCUGUAACCGGUACGGGCUCUGAGAGGAGGAGCCCGGAGAUGGGCACUGAGACAAGGGCCCAGGCCCUAUGGGGCGCAGCAGGCGCGAAACCUCUGCAAUAGGCGAAAGCUUGACAGGGUUACUCUGAGUGAUGUCCGUUAAGGGCAUCUUUUGGCACUUCUAAAAAUAGUGUAGAAUAAGGGGUGGGCAAGUCUGGUGUCAGCCGCCGCGGUAAUACCAGCACCCCGAGUGGUCGGGACGAUUAUUGGGCCUAAAGCAUCCGUAGCCGGUUCUGCAAGUCUUCCGUUAAAUCCACCUGCUCAACAGAUGGGCUGCGGGGGAUACUACAGGGCUAGGAGGCGGGAGAGGCAAGCGGUACUCGGUGGGUAGGGGUAAAAUCCUCUGAUCCACCGAAGACCACCAGUGGCGAAGGCGGCUUGCCAGAACGCGCUCGACGGUGAGGGAUGAAAGCUGGGGGAGCAAACCGGAUUAGAUACCCGGGUAGUCCCAGCUGUAAACGAUGCAGACUCGGUGAUGGGUUGGCUUUGAGCCAACCCAGUGCCGCAGGGAAGCCGUUAAGUCUGCCGCCUGGGGAGUACGGUCGCAAGACUGAAACUUAAAGGAAUUGGCGGGGGAGCACCACAAGGGGUGAAGCUGCGGUC
This 870-nucleotide ribosomal RNA is filed under the name uncultured archaeon. RNAcentral describes it as "bacterial SSU rRNA". It matches the Rfam family "Archaeal small subunit ribosomal RNA", at positions 23 to 902 of the family's 1478-position model. The record is from RNAcentral.